Molecule: ribosomal RNA, 1392 nt
Filed under: Pedobacter lusitanus
Lineage: Bacteria; Pseudomonadati; Bacteroidota; Sphingobacteriia; Sphingobacteriales; Sphingobacteriaceae
Description: bacterial SSU rRNA
Rfam family: Bacterial small subunit ribosomal RNA
Source: RNAcentral
UGCAGUCGAACGAUACUCAGUAGCUUGCUAUUGAGGAAAGUGGCGCACGGGUGCGUAACGCGUAUGCAACCUACCUUAAUCAGGGGGAUAGCCCGAAGAAAUUCGGAUUAACACCGCAUAAAAUCACAGUACAGCAUUGUACAAUGAUCAAAUAUUUAUAGGAUUAAGAUGGGCAUGCGUGACAUUAGUUAGUUGGCGGGGUAACGGCCCACCAAGACCACGAUGUCUAGGGGAUCUGAGAGGAUGACCCCCCACACUGGUACUGAGACACGGACCAGACUCCUACGGGAGGCAGCAGUAAGGAAUAUUGGUCAAUGGAGGCAACUCUGAACCAGCCAUGCCGCGUGCAGGAAGACAGCCCUCUGGGUCGUAAACUGCUUUUAUUCGGGAAUAAACCACAUUACGUGUAGUGUGCUGAAUGUACCGAAGGAAUAAGGAUCGGCUAACUCCGUGCCAGCAGCCGCGGUAAUACGGAGGAUCCAAGCGUUAUCCGGAUUUAUUGGGUUUAAAGGGUGCGUAGGCGGCUUUUUAAGUCAGGGGUGAAAGACGGUGGCUCAACCAUCGCAGUGCCCUUGAUACUGAAGAGCUUGAAUGAAUUAGAGGUAGGCGGAAUGUGACAAGUAGCGGUGAAAUGCAUAGAUAUGUCACAGAACACCGAUUGCGAAGGCAGCUUACUAUGAUUUUAUUGACGCUGAGGCACGAAAGCGUGGGGAUCAAACAGGAUUAGAUACCCUGGUAGUCCACGCCCUAAACGAUGAAUACUCGCUGUUAGCGAUACACAGUUAGCGGCUAAGCGAAAGCGUUAAGUAUUCCACCUGGGGAGUACGGUCGCAAGAUUGAAACUCAAAGGAAUUGACGGGGGCCCGCACAAGCGGAGGAGCAUGUGGUUUAAUUCGAUGAUACGCGAGGAACCUUACCCGGGCUUGAAAGUUAGUGAAUCAUUUAGAGAUAGAUGAGUCCGCAAGGACACGAAACUAGGUGCUGCAUGGCUGUCGUCAGCUCGUGCCGUGAGGUGUUGGGUUAAGUCCCGCAACGAGCGCAACCCCUAUGUUUAGUUGCCAGCACGUAAUGGUGGGGACUCUAAACAGACUGCCUGUGCAAACAGAGAGGAAGGAGGGGACGACGUCAAGUCAUCAUGGCCCUUACGUCCGGGGCUACACACGUGCUACAAUGGAUGGUACAGAGGGCAGCAAGCUGGUAACAGCAAGCAAAUCUCCAAAAGCCAUUCACAGUUCGGAUAGAGGUCUGCAACUCGACCUCUUGAAGUUGGAUUCGCUAGUAAUCGUAUAUCAGCAAUGAUACGGUGAAUACGUUCCCGGGCCUUGUACACACCGCCCGUCAAGCCAUGGGAAAGUUGGGGGUAACCUAAAAGUAAUGUAAACCGCAAGGAGC